CCUACGGGUGGCUGCAGUGGGGAAUAUUGGACAAUGGGCGAAAGCCUGAUCCAGCCAUGCCGCGUGUGUGAAGAAGGCCUUCGGGUUGUAAAGCACUUUCAGUGGGGAAGAAAGCCUUGGGGCUAAUACCCUCGAGGAAGGACAUCACCCACAGAAGAAGCACCGGCUAACUCCGUGCCAGCAGCCGCGGUAAUACGGAGGGUGCGAGUGUUAAUCGGAAUUACUGGGCGUAAAGCGCGCGUAGGCGGUCUGAUAAGCCGGUUGUGAAAGCCCCGGGCUCAACCUGGGAACGGCAUCCGGAACUGUCAGGCUAGAGUGCAGGAGAGGAAGGUAGAAUUCCCGGUGUAGCGGUGAAAUGCGUAGAGAUCGGGAGGAAUACCAGUGGCGAAGGCGGCCUUCUGGACUGACACUGACGCUGAGGUGCGAAAGCGUGGGUAGCAAACAGGAUUAGAUACCCCAGUAGUC
This 465-nucleotide ribosomal RNA is filed under the name Vreelandella stevensii. Its description in RNAcentral is "partial 16S ribosomal RNA". It matches the Rfam family "Bacterial small subunit ribosomal RNA", at positions 338 to 795 of the family's 1533-position model. The record is from RNAcentral. Lineage: Bacteria; Pseudomonadati; Pseudomonadota; Gammaproteobacteria; Oceanospirillales; Halomonadaceae.